UUCUACAGCCAAACCAUCCUGAACAGGCCCGAUCUCAUCUGAUCUUGGAAGCUAAUCAGGGUCGGGUCUGGUUAUCACUUGGAUGGGAGAUCAUGCGCAAGGACACAGGUUCAAGCAC
Ribosomal RNA from Erinaceus europaeus (western European hedgehog), 118 nucleotides. NCBI's taxonomy places the organism in Eukaryota, Metazoa, Chordata, Mammalia, Eulipotyphla, Erinaceidae. The record is from Ensembl.